This 467-nucleotide ribosomal RNA is filed under the name uncultured bacterium. Its description in RNAcentral is "partial 16S ribosomal RNA". It matches the Rfam family "Bacterial small subunit ribosomal RNA", at positions 28 to 507 of the family's 1533-position model. The record is from RNAcentral.
GACGAACGCUGGCGGCGUGCUUAACACAUGCAAGUCGAACGGAAAGGCUCCAGCUUGCUGGCGUACUCGAGUGGCGAACGGGUGAGUAACACGUGGGUAAUCUGCCCUGCACUCUGGGAUAAGCCUGGGAAACUGGGUCUAAUACUGGAUAUGACCUUUCUCCUUAUGGGGUUUGGUGGAAAGUUUUUCGGUGUAGGAUGAGCCCGCGGCCUAUCCGCUUGGUGGUGGGGUGAUGGCCUACCAAGGCGACGACGGGUAGCCGGCCUGGGGGGGUGAUCGGCCACAUUGGAACUGAGAUACGGCCCAGACUCCUACGGGAGGCAGCAGUGGGGAAUAUUGCACAAUGGGCGGAAGCCUGAUGCAGCGACGCCGCGUGAGGGAUGACGGCCUUCGGGUUGUAAACCUCUUUCAGCAGGGACGAAGCGUAAGUGACGGUACCUGCAGAAGAAGCACCGGCUAACUAUGUG